UGAGAGGUAGCUCAGCGGCAAAGCGUUUGCCUCGCAUUUGCAAAAACUUGGGUUUGACCCCCAAUUCCAAAA
This 72-nucleotide transfer RNA is filed under the name Marmota monax (woodchuck). Its description in RNAcentral is "tRNA.Ala". The record is from RNAcentral. Lineage: Eukaryota; Metazoa; Chordata; Mammalia; Rodentia; Sciuridae.